GGGGAAUUUUGGACAAUGGGCGAAAGCCUGAUCCAGCCAUGCCGCGUGAGUGAAGAAGGCCUUCGGGUUGUAAAGCUCUUUUAGUCGGAAAGAAAGAGUUGCAAUGAAUAAUUGUGAUUUAUGACGGUACCGACAGAAAAAGCACCGGCUAACUACGUGCCAGCAGCCGCGGUAAUACGUAGGGUGCGAGCGUUAAUCGGAAUUACUGGGCGUAAAGGGUGCGCAGGCGGUCUUGCAAGUCAGAUGUGAAAGCCCCGGGCUUAACCUGGGAAUUGCGUUUGAAACUACAAAGCUAGAGUGCAGCAGAGGGGAGUGGAAUUCCAUGUGUAGCAGUGGAAUGCGUAGAGAUGUGGAAGAACACCGAUGGCGAAGGCAGCUCCCUGGGUUGACACUGACGCUCAUGCACGAAAGCGUGGGGAGCAAACA
RNAcentral lists this ribosomal RNA (426 nucleotides) under uncultured bacterium. Its description in RNAcentral is "bacterial SSU rRNA". It matches the Rfam family "Bacterial small subunit ribosomal RNA", at positions 356 to 774 of the family's 1533-position model. The record is from RNAcentral.